UACGAAGGGGGCUAGCGUUGCUCGGAAUCACUGGGCGUAAAGGGUGCGUAGGCGGGUCUUUAAGUCAGGGGUGAAAUCCUGGAGCUCAACUCCAGAACUGCCUUUGAUACUGAAGAUCUUGAGUUCGGGAGAGGUGAGUGGAACUGCGAGUGUAGAGGUGAAAUUCGUAGAUAUUCGCAAGAACACCAGUGGCGAAGGCGACUCACUGGCCCGAUACUGACGCUGAGGCACGAAA
This 235-nucleotide ribosomal RNA is filed under the name uncultured bacterium. RNAcentral's name for it is "partial 16S ribosomal RNA". It matches the Rfam family "Bacterial small subunit ribosomal RNA", at positions 524 to 758 of the family's 1533-position model. The record is from RNAcentral.